Molecule: transfer RNA, 74 nt
Filed under: Selaginella moellendorffii
Lineage: Eukaryota; Viridiplantae; Streptophyta; Lycopodiopsida; Selaginellales; Selaginellaceae
Rfam family: tRNA
About the family: Transfer RNA (tRNA) molecules are approximately 80 nucleotides in length. Their secondary structure includes four short double-helical elements and three loops (D, anti-codon, and T loops).
Source: Rfam by way of RNAcentral
GCUAGAAUAGCUUAAUUGGUUAGACAGAGUGGCUGUUAACCAUAAGGUCUGAGGUUCAAUCCCUCUUUCUAAUG